Molecule: long non-coding RNA, 2484 nt
Filed under: Homo sapiens (human)
Lineage: Eukaryota; Metazoa; Chordata; Mammalia; Primates; Hominidae
Description: non-protein coding lnc-PTCD2-8:1
Source: RNAcentral
UUAUAAAUCAACCAAGUUUCUUGAAAACAAUAAUUUUUGUUCAGAAGUACUGUUGUGAGUGAGGAGAACAUUGUGCAGCUCAGCCUGUGGACAUACAGUGGCUGCAGCGUGGGCCCCAGGCUGCUCUCAUGCUCGCUGGGCCUGCUGGGUCUGCUGGGCCUGCUGGAACAGGAAGCAGCAACGCAAUUCCACCAGAGGAACCACAGGGAAACCAAGGCUGACUGAAGUCUGAGAAGAAAGCCUGUCUAGAGUCACAGGAGUGAAAAUAAGAAAACAAAAUUUAGUCAGGAAAUUGCACCAUGGAAAUGUCUGGCGUCAGGUUCUAUAAAUUCCGACCCGACUAUAGUCAAGUAUUUGCCGAGCCACCUCGUGUUUGCUUCAGAUCUGUGUUUGCUGCUUCUUUUUGCACAGAUUUGUCUUUUGUUUCCUUCCCAUUAAAAACAGGAGGCAGCGGGUUAGCUGUGCUGGGUUACACAGCAGCAGAUGGUGUUGCCCACCAUGGGCAGAGAUCUCACAUGAGAGAGCGGGGAGGGAGGGUGGACAUGUCACACCCAUGCCAUUUUCCUGCUGGAAACUCUACCUCACACAUGCAGGGACCACAAUGGAUUUGACAAGAACCACUCAUAUAAAGGCAGAAAGUCUUUUAAUUACAUAAAAUCUGAAACUAUGUGUUAGAAGCAGUGGUCUCUUGCCAUUUCUGUGGAUACCCAUCUUCCAUAUAGUCUUACUCAAAGUUAAUUGAAGACAAGCAGAAGUGAGGCCUGGAGUCAGUGUGGGGGUGAUUUGUAAUGACAAGUUGGAAUUGAAUCCUGGUGGGACAUCACAGAGCUGGGUGAUAUGUGGCGUGUGGUGGUGGUGGUGGUGGUGAAGAAGACGGGUUCUUAAGAAUACAAACCCUUGAACAUGUCAGAUUUAGUCUACUUUCCCUUCUUGAUUCUCUGGGUUCCCCUUCUGUUAGUCUUCAAUCAAGUCCUUUUUGGAAAGAUUCCUUUCCCUUUGUUUAGAGAACAUUGGUCAACUUUGAAUAACAAAUGAGAAUAGAAAUGACAAAAACGUCUCCAGGUCUCAGCUGUGGGACCUUAUGAGCAGUGUUGCACAAAGACAUUCCCCCCAAAGCCUGCUACUGUUACUUUUAGGAUGUUCAUUUAAAAAAAAAAUCUCUUUUCCCUAGGUCGGGAAGAUGACCUUCACCAUAUAAUUUCGGACUAAAAUCUGCAGAUUGUAACCAUAGUUAGGAGGCAGUUCUUCAUUAAAAUACCCUGCAUUUAAUCUUUCACAUAUUGUACAAAAGUAAAACCAAAACAAAAUAAUACUGAAUGGUAAAGUAAUAUUAUUUUUUUAUUUUGCUAAAAUUCCAUGGGGUGUUCAUUUUCUUUAUGACUCGUCUCUUAUUCCUAGCUCAUUCUCGUGUGUCUAUCACAGUGAAGUUGCUGUAGACACCCUCAGAUUUCUAGAAAUAGUAUCUGAAGUGUUCCCAGAGGGAAUAGGAUUUAGGGCCAAGGAAUUAGGAUGGUCCCACUCUGUGCCCAUGUAUAAUGCCACACAGACUGAGUGACUUUCCUCCAAAUGGAUAUCGGGCUGGCAUAUUUUGGGACCUAUUGAAUGUUUUUGGUCCCAUUCCAGUUUACUGUUAACAGCCUCAUCUAUUUGUGAACAGACACAGGAGUAGUAUCUAUAUGACACAAAGGGAUGUUUGACAACUUUUAGCUAAUUUGGCCACUACAGAUGGCCAUGGGCAGGUGAGAGCCAGAACAAAGUGUUGGAGCACUGAGGUUUAUCAUUCAGCGGUCCCCGGCUUCCUGCCCAGCUGAGCUCAUGACCUUUGCCAACCAGAGUUUUCCUGAAUAAACAAACACAGGUCCCCUACCAGAUGGAGAGGUGCUUAAUAGAACCAGGCUGCCAGGCCUAGCAAUUGUGCCACUAGUUGUGACCAGGCUUGGGAAAUUUAGAAGCUGUGUCUUGUUUGCUGGGGCCUCUUUCCCCAGAUCUGCUAGUUCUGGAGAUUCCAGUAGGCACUGAGCAUCUCACUGGUUCCUCUGUGUGCAUUUUUCCUUGUGCUGUGAACCAGCAUCCUGGUAAUUCCUGUUAAUCUCUGCACUUCUUCAGAGUGUCUUCUAAACCAGGAAUCCUUUAUCUGGGGAACUUUUACCCUGAUAAAUGCUGGUGCACUGCAAAUUAUUGAAUGUCAUUAGGGUGCCCCAGAAGCUAGAUUAUUCUAGACUCCAGAUUGAACAAUGGCUUAUGUAUUUUUCUGAGGAGGGCAUAUCCUGCGAAGGGAAGCCCAGACGUUCUGGUGAGUUGGAGGUGCAUUGUUACCGUGUCCUUACACACUGUGUCCAUUCACUGGUUUAGCACUUGAUUGUAACAGCAUAUAUUAUUUUCUAAACUUUUUAUCUACAAAAUCUCGCCUCAUCAACAAAAUUGUUAAACUCCUCAAGAGUAGUGAUCCUAUGUUUGGUACAUUUUGCUCCCCCCAGAGUACUG